GCCCUCCUUGUUAAAGGAAGAAAUCGUUCGUCAAUGGAGACACUCCUGCAUACCACGGCGACUUAUCCAAACCCAAAACAGUUUCAUGGUAGAGGAUUGAGUUGGUACAGAAACACAAGCUUCAAUUUUCCAAAUGGGUACUGUUCUGCAGAGCUAUUCACCUCUCGAAAGCUUUCAUUUGGAUUGAGAAGAUAUGUUACUGUUGGGGCCAAGAGGAAGAACAACAAGAAAGAAGACACCCAUAGUUUUGUGCCUAAACCAGAUGAGGCCACUGGGCCCUUCCCCGAGGCUGUACUGCUUAAAGAGAAGAAGGUUCAGGAAGAUGGUAAACUUCUCCCUGAAUUCGCUGAUGUUGAAGAGCGUGAGUGACUCUUAACUUGUAUAUAUGUUUUAAAACUUUCUUGCUUUUGUGUUUGGGGAGACUUAUUAUUAUCAUUUAUGGAAAUUGAAGUAAUAUGACUUUUUAUGAAUUGCAGAAAAACUCUAUGAAUUUCUGAACCUUGAGCUGGAAAGUCAAUUGAAGGUUGAGCGUAGUGAGUAUACUUCCUUCCCAUCGCUUCUUGGUUUCCAUGGUUGGUAUUUGGUAAAUGGUUUCCAUGGUUGGUAUUUGGUAAAAAGGGAAAAAAGAAUGAGGGGAAACAGCAACAUUACUUAUAAAUUGGAUGUUUAAUGAUCUCUUAUUCGAUCUGGUACUGAUGAAAUGUUUUUCAACUCCUCUGGUUAACUUUUUUACAUAUGGGUUUAUAGACUUAUCUCUUAGCAUUUUAUUCUUACCUCUUUUAAUCUGUCAGGUAUAACGAAUUAAAUCUAUGUGGUUUACGGUUUUGUAGAAAAUCAUAGAAAAGUAUGUUGACUGUGGUUAGAAAUUAGCUGGGAUUCCCUUCCAUAGUUAAAGAGGACAUCUGUGCUAAUAUCAUUUGGUUUGGUGUCUCCUUUGUAAUUGCAGUGCGUCACUAUGAAGUGGUUUAUCUAAUCCAUGAGAAGCAUGCAGAAGAAGUUGGCAGUGUUAAUGAAAAAGUUCAAGGUAACACAUUAUACUUCCAUCUCUCAGUUCUGUCCACAUUCUCUCUACACUGUUUAGUUCUACUUUCUCAUUAUUGAUAGUAAAGAGUGAAGUUAAGUCAUGGACCAAGACCAACACAAAUUUGCCUUGUCCCAAUUAUUUGGCUCCUUGUCCAAAAAAACUAAGGUUUUCUUGCCACAUAAGUUGGUAAGCUACUCUAGUUGCACCUUGAUGCUAUACACCAAAGUUGAGUACUUAAUGGUCUUUGACCUUCUCAAGAACAUAGAAGAAUCAGUUUCCACGCAGUGUCAUGGCCGCCCUACCAAACUCUUCCUGGCACCGACUUGGCAUGUAUCUUAUCUAUCACAGUGAGUUUUAGUAAGAUAAUUAUGUCAAUGUUCAUGCAAGUCAUGUUUAGGAUUUCAUCCUUUCCCAUUGCACGUAGUGUUUCAAGGGACACUCGUGUCGUAGAUGAUAAACAAUCAAUAGCGUAUGAACCAUUGAGCUUGUGAUUAUGGUUGGGUUAAGGGUUCCUAUACUUCUCUAAAGUAGUAAUUUGGUAGGGAUACCUCCCAAAAUUCACUAUCAUCUUAUCUCAUUGGUCAAUUGCCCUAUGAGAGUUGAGCCCCAAUCACUAAACUGCCUCAGUAACUCAAAUCAUAACUUCCUUAUGAAACAACUUUUCUGUUGUCAUGAUUAAAAUUUGACCUGGCGGGAGCUCUGGAUGCUUCUAAAUGGUUCUCGCUAUUCAAUUUCCCAAGUUGUUUACAUAGGCGUGCCUGUAUUGAGUUGCAAAUUAUAGCUUGGACUUACUUGAGAACAUGAUCAGAAAGCUUGAUAAAAAUGCCAUCAGGUGUGGCUAUGUUUUUUUUCUGACUUUGCACACUUCUUGAUUCUGACUUAUUAUCAGCCAUUAAAGUGAAUAAGAUAUGACUUGACGCGUUUUUUGGAAACCUAUAGUAAGAAUGGCCCCAUGAGUGUUGAAAUGACACCAAUGCAGCUACUUACUGAUCUAUCCUAGGUUGGUUAGAAUAUUUUCAGUUAUUUAGGUUUGUAACUUUUAAGAAUCAGAAAUGUUCUGUCAAUUGUUUUAUGAUCUUACAUUAGACGAAUGGUGUCUCUAUUUGUUGGGACCUCCAUCUAUUGGUUUGUAGAGGUAUAAUCACAUAAGAUGCAACUUGUUUGACAUUGCUAAAGACAAAUGUCAUCAGAUUUAUGUAAACAUGGAGUUAAAUGUAAUUUUCCUUUGGAGUUGUAUUUCAACCUGACCUGCAAUAUCUUUUACCGCUUAAACUCUUGCUGCAGGUUUUUUAAGGGAGAAGAAAGGCAAGAUAUGGAGACUGAAUGAUUGGGGGAUGCGAAGGCUAGCGUACAAGAUACAAAAAGCCAAAAAUGCCCACUACAUUUUGAUGAAUUUUGAGUUAGAAGCCAAAUGGAUCAAUGAAUUCAAGAGCAUGUUAGACAAAGACGAGAGAGUUAUUCGACACCUUGUGAUAAAGAGAGAGAAAGCGAUCAUGGAGGAUUGCCCACCUCCACCUGAGUUCCACACGUUGCAUGCAGGUAUGGAUGAUAAUGAUGAUGAAGAUGAUUUAGAUUAUGAUGAUGCCUAUGACGAAGAAGGUUAUGAUGAAGAUUGGGAUGGUGAGGGCAAUAUGGA
Molecule: unclassified non-coding RNA, 2660 nt
Filed under: Hevea brasiliensis (rubber tree)
Lineage: Eukaryota; Viridiplantae; Streptophyta; Magnoliopsida; Malpighiales; Euphorbiaceae
Source: RNAcentral